RNAcentral lists this ribosomal RNA (434 nucleotides) under Phaeophyscia pyrrhophora. RNAcentral describes it as "partial 18S ribosomal RNA". Lineage: Eukaryota; Fungi; Ascomycota; Lecanoromycetes; Caliciales; Physciaceae. The record is from RNAcentral.
CGGAACCUUGUGCCCAACAGUCUGCCGUCCUUGGCGGGCGACGCUUGAUUGGUGCUGGGAGAAAACCCUCUUGCGGGGCCCAACCAGCAGCCGUUGUGCUCGCACAUCGGCCCACAGAUCAUCUUCAGGCGGUCUCCCCUCGCUCGAGGGAUUAAGAUAUGACCGGACCCACUCGGUAAUGGGUGGAGGCCUUGUUCCGUAGGUGAAUUGGUUUGCCUACCGCAUUCAUAGAAUGCGCGGUCUGCACUCAUAUUCCAGUGCAGGCGACAUCGUCGAAGUGCUGAGCGUCCCCGGCGAAAGCCUAGAACAAUCAGCAGCCAGUGCCCCUCGGCCUGGUUCACAGAUCAACCGACGACGACCCGUAGGGGUUGAGAUAUGAUCGGUCUUGGCCCGAAAUCGGCGCUGGAGGCGCGGAACCUGCGGAAGGAUCAUUA